GACGAACGCUGGCGGCGGGCUUAACACAUGCAAGUCGAACGGAAAGGCCCUGCUUGUGUGGGGUGCUCGAGUGGCGAACGGGUGAGUAACACGUGAGUAACCUGCCCUUGACUUUGGGAUAACUUCAGGAAACGGGGGCUAAUACCGGAUAGGAGAUCCUGCUGCAGGGAGGGGGUGGGAAAGUCUCGGCGGGUGGGGAUGGACGCGCGGCUUAUCAGCUUGUUGGUGGGGGGGUGGCUGACCAAGGCUAUGACGGGUAGCCGGCCUGAGAGGGUGACCGGCCACCCUGGGCCUGAGGUGCGGCCGCGGCUCCUACGGGAGGCCGCAGUGCGGAAUCCUGCACCAGGCGCGGAGGCCGGAUGCAGCAACCCCGCGUGCGGGAUGGCCCCCUUCUGGUUGUAGACCGCUUUCACCUUUGACGACGCGUGAGUGGCGGUUAUGGGUAGAGUAGCACCCGCUUACCUCGUU
Molecule: ribosomal RNA, 468 nt
Filed under: uncultured bacterium
Lineage: Bacteria
Description: partial 16S ribosomal RNA
Rfam family: Bacterial small subunit ribosomal RNA
Source: RNAcentral